RNAcentral lists this ribosomal RNA (254 nucleotides) under uncultured bacterium. RNAcentral's name for it is "partial 16S ribosomal RNA". It matches the Rfam family "Bacterial small subunit ribosomal RNA", at positions 524 to 776 of the family's 1533-position model. The record is from RNAcentral.
UACGGGGGGAGCAAGCGUUGUUCGGAUUUACUGGGCGUAAAGGGCGCGUAGGCGGUCAGCACAAGUCAGUUGUGAAAUCUCCGGGCUUAACUCGGAAAGGUCAACUGAUACUGUGCGACUAGAGUGCAGAAGGGGCAACUGGAAUUCUCGGUGUAGCGGUGAAAUGCGUAGAUAUCGAGAGGAACACCGGUGGCGAAGGCGGUCUGCUGGGCAGUAGCUGACACUGAGGCGCGACAGCGUGGGGAGCAAACAGG